Molecule: ribosomal RNA, 159 nt
Filed under: Cytospora sacculus
Lineage: Eukaryota; Fungi; Ascomycota; Sordariomycetes; Diaporthales; Cytosporaceae
Description: 5.8S ribosomal RNA
Rfam family: 5.8S ribosomal RNA
About the family: 5.8S ribosomal RNA (5.8S rRNA) is a component of the large subunit of the eukaryotic ribosome. It is transcribed by RNA polymerase I as part of the 45S precursor that also contains 18S and 28S rRNA.
Source: RNAcentral
UAAAACUUUUAACAACGGAUCUCUUGGUUCUGGCAUCGAUGAAGAACGCAGCGAAAUGCGAUAAGUAAUGUGAAUUGCAGAAUUCAGUGAAUCAUCGAAUCUUUGAACGCACAUUGCGCCCUCUGGUAUUCCAGAGGGCAUGCCUGUUCGAGCGUCAUU